This 340-nucleotide ribosomal RNA is filed under the name uncultured Levilinea sp. Its description in RNAcentral is "bacterial SSU rRNA". It matches the Rfam family "Bacterial small subunit ribosomal RNA", at positions 1027 to 1382 of the family's 1533-position model. The record is from RNAcentral. Lineage: Bacteria; Bacillati; Chloroflexota; Anaerolineae; Anaerolineales; Anaerolineaceae.
AGCUAGCACAGGUGCUGCAUGGCUGUCGUCAGCUCGUGUCGUGAGAUGUUCGGUUAAGUCCGCUAACGAGCGCAACCCUUGCUGUGUGUUACAUGUGUCACACGGGACUGCCGGUCUUAAACCGGAGGAAGGUGGGAUGACGUCAAGUCAGCAUGGCCUUUAUGUCCUGGGCUACACACACGCUACAAUGGCCGGUACAAUAGGUUGCGAAGCCGCGAGGCGGAGCCAAUCCUCAAAGCCGGCCUCAGUUCAGAUUGCAGGCUGCAACCCGCCUGCAUGAAGAUGGAGUUGCUAGUAACCGCAGGUCAGCUAUACUGCGGUGAAUACGUUCCCGGGGCUU